GCCCCUUUUUGCUACCCCUGAAGCUUACUGUUAGUGGUCGAGUUUUUCUGGAAGUGGGCUUCCGCGAUCGCGGGGACCAACGCCCUGAGCUCUUGUGCCCAAAGGGGAUCGCCAGGUUUUUUGAUGCGGAUCGAAAGGGACUGGCCCCGGAGCCUACAACCUGACGCAGGUGGACAAGGUGGAGGAGAGAGAAUUCCUUGGCAGUAGCAUUAUGAACAAAUGCAGGGCUGAGAAACAGCAUGGUGGCCUUGACUAAGUUUAUGGCGACAGCAGAUAAGGAAACAGCUGAAUUUAUGUCACUUGCCCAAUGUCACACAACUAGCAAGACUGACUCCUUGAAGCUCAUCACAUAUGGAGUCUUGCUCUGUCGCCCAGGCUAGAGUGCAGUGGCGCGAUCUCAGCUCACUGAAACCUCUGCCUCCCGGGUUCAAGUGAUUCUCCUGCCUCCGCCACGCGAUGCCUCUUCAUGGGUGGUGGAUGAAGAAACUGAACAGGGCCAUGAUCCUUAUCUGUAAUUUCCCGGCUACCACACUGCUUUGGUGGUCUUCCCUCGUCUCUUCCUGGGUAGAAACAACUACCUGGAGAUCCCAAUGUUCUUGUCAGUGCACUUUUCAUGGACUGCAGUGCCUACUUCAUACUGGGUGGAAUUUUUAUGAUUAGCGCCCUUCUCUCAUUCUGCUUGAACUUUUUGUUGCUGACCUUCCCUCAGUUAUUCCCUGAGACCCAGAAACAGUAUAUUUUCUGUGCAUCCAUCUGCAUUGUCACAGGAGCCCUCUACCUUCGCAAUUCCCGGUGCUGUGGAGCUGUCAGAGUUUUAACAUCUCAACCAAGCCACAUGGAUACUAUUUCCUCAGAAAAGACAAAAUUGAUCCAAGCAGAAGAGUGAACUCACCGAAGAGGACUCUCUACCCAUAACUGGGGAUGCCUCAGCCACUCACACUUACUCCAAGAUUAGUGUCACUGAUUAUGGAAAGAAUUGACUUCUUCCCCUGGUCUUGCUCAUUUUUCUAGAGCCCAGGACAAUAAAUGUGUUUUACGGCAGAGAAAA
RNAcentral lists this long non-coding RNA (1048 nucleotides) under Homo sapiens (human). RNAcentral's name for it is "long intergenic non-protein coding RNA 1012". Lineage: Eukaryota; Metazoa; Chordata; Mammalia; Primates; Hominidae. The record is from RNAcentral.